UCCCUGGCAGUCCAGUAGUUAGGACUCUGCACUUCCAAUGCAGGGGGCCCGGGUUCGAUUCCUGAUUGGGGAG
Molecule: transfer RNA, 73 nt
Filed under: Ovis aries (sheep)
Lineage: Eukaryota; Metazoa; Chordata; Mammalia; Artiodactyla; Bovidae
Rfam family: tRNA
About the family: Transfer RNA (tRNA) molecules are approximately 80 nucleotides in length. Their secondary structure includes four short double-helical elements and three loops (D, anti-codon, and T loops).
Source: Rfam by way of RNAcentral